Long non-coding RNA from Cyprinus carpio carpio, 3219 nucleotides. The record is from Ensembl. NCBI's taxonomy places the organism in Eukaryota, Metazoa, Chordata, Actinopteri, Cypriniformes, Cyprinidae.
CAUUAAUGCAUUAGUUUCAUUUUGUUCAGUUGGAUUGAUAAAUGUUCUAGAGUGAUCGCAACGUGAUUGGAAAUUCCACCAUGUAAUGACAUGUCCAUAAAGUGUCUGGAUAUUGUUCAAUCAUUGAAUUAUUGUGGAUUCAAAUUUCUGUUUGUAAUGUGUGCACAAAUACUGCAGCACAUCCCUUUGUGAAAAGCCUGGGACACUUGAAAAGUUAAUGGCACGCACACACACACACACACACACAGAGUUUGUUUUUCUAGGUUCUAAGGUUGUGCACUAAAUCCAGCUGCUGUUGCAUUCCCAUGGUGCUCUCCUGCAGCUGCAUCCAAUCAGAUCACAGAACCUUGAAACUGAAGCAGCUACAGCCUGAAAACACAGGCCAUCGUCAUGCUUUUUCUGGAUAUCUCAUUCAUGAAAUUCAGACUCACACCUCUCUGUCUGUUGUUCUUUCUCCGUGUCGCUUGCUCUUCCUUUCUCAAGAGGUUCUGUAAAAUUUUAACUAGGCCUCUUUACCGCAGGUGUUGCAUAUUGGUGAUUAAAGCACCUCUGCAUCUGUUGUUCCUCAGGCAAGAUUUGGUCUGAUUACUGCUCACUAGGGUGCAGAGUGCCGUGACCUGCUUUUGUUUGAGUUCAGACUCAUUUUGCCGUCCUUGAAUGUUAUCACAACUCCUGUAAUCAACAAGUGGCUGCUUAGCUUCAUUUCAUGGUAACAUAAAACUAAUGGAUAGGAAGAAAAGGAAGUCUCACAGGUUGGAUUAUUAGAACAACAUGAAAGUAAGUAAAUGUUUUUUUUUUUUGAAUAUUUUAUUUUAGGGUAAACUAUCCCUUUAAACAUUUUUAAUAACAUUAAUUCCUCAUCCAACAUUAAUUUCUCACAAGAUGUGCCAAAAUUGUCUCUUGAAGACUUCAAAAUCUAAUCUCAUUGCAGAUUCAAUGCAGCAUGGAAUUCACGUUAGCCUCUAUACCGCAGGUUUUGCAAGAAUUUGGCCGUAUUAUGCAACAAGACGUUAGUGUGUCAAUUAGCAAUACUGGUAGUUUUAGCUGAGCAUAAAAAGUAAAACUGUGACAGUCUUGUUGACUCAGGGCUAUGUGUCAAUAGGAAGGCACGAUGACAAUGAGGACCUUCCUCUUUAAAGUAGGACAGUGUGGACAGCACGUUUUAUCGUGAGCAUUAAAAGCAGGUUAUGACUUCGUAUACGUGUCUCAAAACAAAAGAGUGCUGAAAUGCAGGCUAAUAGCUCAGGGGUAUUGUAUUUCUGUGGUCUGAGGUAAUUGGCUUUUUCUUUACUUCUAUGAAUGUUAUUUAAAGCAGGUCGUGUUGAUCCAGGAUUAUACGAGACCCCCAUGUCAAAUAGGCUGACUCACCUAGAUGUAUUUCCAUUUAGUUUCGAUGUUUCCAAUUCAGAGCCGCCUCAACUGCCAAAAAGUAGAAUCACAGGACAGAUGUGAUGAUUCAGAGUAUCUCUUUGCCUAGAUUUGUGGUUUAUGAGAGUGCACUCAUAUCUAUAAAGCGAGUGUUUGUGUGAGAUGGACCGAGCGAGAGGCAUGGGGGGGUUGUGGGACAUGAUGAGAGAAUGGUGAAGUAGCCAGCCCACAAUGGGCCGCAUUGUUCCAAGCUCAUAAUCAGAGCGGACAUGGAACUUGGCCGGGAGAGUCGUCCCUGUAGCCCUCGACACAGCUGCUGGGACUUCAGUUUAUAUUCCCUCUGUUCUGCUUUCAUCAGCAUCUCUCUUGCGCACAUUUUCUCUCCGUCUCUGUCUUUCCCAUUCAGUGGCUGCUUUUCCUUCCUCCAUUUGAAAUGAAGGGGUCAGGGCAUGAGCAAUGCACUCUUGUGUAACACUACAACGGCAUAAACAAACUGUGCCAAUCAAAGAGAGCCAAAACUUUGACCUCAAUAUCUUAUGCUUAAGUACAGGAAUCUCAGGCCUCCAUCCAACUGUCCUCCAAGCAGCCAUCUUCGCUUCCUGUAUGCAUUUUAGUUAGUGGAACAACCAGAAGCCCGGUGGAAAAACCCAGCCAGUAACUGGAUCUUUAAAAGAUUAGAGCUCUGCUUCAAUGACGAGAGAAAUAAGAAGCUUAACAGCUGGCCCAGUGGCGGUAGCUGUGUUUACAAUAAAAUCUCGCAGUCAGCUGUGAGGCCUUUGCGUCACUGGCAUGUAAAAAUAAAAUAAGAGACCAGAGAGAGACCCCUCCAUCAUGACUCAAAAUUUCCACAGAGACCAUAGGAUGGUGCCACUCCUUGUACAAAAUCUGAUACAUUGCAGGUGGGUCUUGGUGUCCAAAACGUCCAAGUACGAAUUCCAUCACAUGACCUUUCAGCAGUGUGUUAACCGAUAAUUGUCGCCUCAUAGCUUUCUAAAUUGAUUGAAGCAUUUGCGGUGUGUGUUGGCUGCACAUACGGUUGGCUGCGGUUCUUGGCCGUUGGGCUCGGAUGAUUCCAUGUUGCUGGGCUGGGGCUGCUUUACACACAUUACAUGACUUAAGCAGGCAACACAUGCUCCCUUUACUCUGUUAGGGUUGCUGGGAGUGAGUUGUAUUUUUGACCCGCUCUAGGUCAGGUGUCCGCCCUUGUGUUGCCUCCCAUAUGUUCCGCAUUUUCUUGCGCUAUCCACCCAACCCCCAGUCCCGUUGCCCCUGUAAUUGCCAGGUAAUGUUUCGGCUCUGGCUCCUCCUCUACUGCCUUUAUUCCUGUUCUGAAUUUAAUGCGACUGCCAAUAGUGGCCACAGGCUUGGCAGUAUUUCAAAAAAGGGGCCCACCUUCGAUACAUUAUACACAAGCAGCUUUCACCAAGGUGUGCAUUUCAAGACAGUCUUCCUCUGUUUUUAUACUGUGCUUUUUUCGGUUAAAUCAAAGCUGGAGGGGACACUGGAGACUCCCCCCCCACCCCCAAUCUGAUCUCUGUAACCCCUCCCUGCUCAUAUCAGAUAUUCCCCAGCCGCCUGGCGCCCAGAGAGAGGCCCACCUUUACCACCCAUUGUAAACCCAAUAAUACAGAACUGUUGGCUUUUAUGGUCAUACUCUGUCCCAUUUCCCAAAAAUCACCUUUCAAAUGCAUAAAUAAACUAAACAAAAACAACAAAUAAAAAUGGAGUAUAGGGCUAUAUUUACAAUGCCUUUGGCGUAGGUAUCAUACUGGGUAUAUCUGAAUUCUGUACUUUUGUUUGUGGUCACUUUGUUCCCUUUCUUCCUCUUUUCAGUAAGCAAAAAAAAAAACA